RNAcentral lists this ribosomal RNA (439 nucleotides) under uncultured bacterium. Its description in RNAcentral is "partial 16S ribosomal RNA". It matches the Rfam family "Bacterial small subunit ribosomal RNA", at positions 339 to 795 of the family's 1533-position model. The record is from RNAcentral.
CUACGGGAUACAGCAGUGAGGAAUAUUGCACAAUGGGGGGAACCCUGAUGCAGCAACGCCGCGUGGAGGAUGACGCAUUUCGGUGUGUAAACUCCUUUUAUAUGUCAAGAAAAUGACGGUAGCAUAUGAAUAAGCACCGGCUAACUCCGUGCCAGCAGCCGCGGUAAUACGGAGGGUGCAAGCGUUACUCGGAAUCACUGGGCGUAAAGGACGCGUAGGCGGGUUGGAAAGUCAGGUGUGAAAUCCUACGGCUUAACUGUAGAACUGCACUUGAAACUUCUAAUCUAGAGUAUGGGAGGGGGAGAUGGAAUUAGUGGUGUAGGGGUAAAAUCCGUAGAUAUCACUAGGAAUGCCUAAAGCGAAGGCGAUCUCCUGGAACAUUACUGACGCUAAGGCGUGAAAGCGUGGGGAGCAAACAGGAUUAGAUACCCCGGUAGUC